This is a long non-coding RNA of Pieris napi, 590 nucleotides long. RefSeq lists it as uncharacterized. Lineage: Eukaryota; Metazoa; Arthropoda; Insecta; Lepidoptera; Pieridae. The transcript has 2 exons. The record is from RefSeq and is a predicted model, not a curated record.
AUGUCCAAUCGGACUGGACCUCGAAACACAUACCUACUCAAGACAUCAAAAGACUUUGAAUGUACUAGCUGAUCAAAGAUACAAUUCCUUCUGUCCAAAGUAAAAUUCGUAAGACAUCAAUGAUUAAGCUAUAUUCCAUAAUUAGAAUCUAGACAACAAAGGUCAGUAAUAAAUAUGAACGACAUUCGAUAUAUAACAUUGUAUCGAUGCGUUGUUUCCAAGUUAUCUAAGGUCGGAGUCAGUCACCUUACGCGCCAAGACGACACUGCACUUUAUUUUAUAAUUUUCCAUAAACAAUAAUGGACCCGGAAAGACAGCCAUUGCUGCAGCAGGCAAGGAGAGUGAGACCACUGAGCUACGAAGAAGUACUACGUACGAGUACCCAGCUACCCUGGCGAAGUGCCAGGUUCCUCAUCAUCCUCUUAUUCUGGGCAACGAUGGCUAUGUUCCUGUCCAUGAUUGUUUGCAUACUCCUCACCAGUGCCUGCUCUAUUUCCGGGAAUGGACCUACAGUACCACCCGUACAUUUGACCUUUGCACCUCUUAUAUCGAGAACUAUGCACUAGAUAGUUUAAAUAUAUUUGUUGUAG